Molecule: long non-coding RNA, 1054 nt
Organism: Strongylocentrotus purpuratus (purple sea urchin)
Lineage: Eukaryota; Metazoa; Echinodermata; Echinoidea; Camarodonta; Strongylocentrotidae
Exons: 2
Source: RefSeq, a predicted model, not a curated record
ACAGAAAUCUUAUCUGGAAAUAAUCGGUUAGACCUGUAAAUGGUAAACAAAAUUCUUUCCCCACAGGCUGUUCAAAGAAGCUUGUAGUAUUUGUGUUGCACAUGCAUACAUUAUCAACCUUUCAUUUUGUUUUAACUUUAUUCAUUUUCUCAUUUAUUUGUAGGCAUCUUUUUUUAACAUCUUUCGUCAAAGAAGUGGAUUCAAAGCACAUUGUGGCCUCAGUAUAUUGAUGUGAAACCAUGCAGAAAAUGCUACUUUCUCUCAACCUUGUGGAUGUUCCCUACUUCCCUAAGGAUUAGCAGCCUCUUGAAACAGGUGAAGCCAUUAUCGAAUUCCUUGCGUCUAUGUUCCUUGGAUCUGAAAACAGUGCAUAAUGCAGGAGAUUCCACCCAAAAGCUAACCCACAAGUCCAAGCUGAAGUGGAAUAUUUCGCAAAAUUUGAUCUACACUCACCCGAUAGCUUUACUGCUAGAGAAAGGUUAUUUUUUCACUUCAUUAUACUUUAUAGAGAGAGAUUGGGGGAGGGGGAGGGGUGAGGUGUAGCCACAAACCUGAAUGGAUAAGCUGUAGAACUGAAAUUUCCAGUCAUGUUACUUGCAAUUUUAAUGAAUUACAGGAUUUACGAACUGACAUAAUAACGAUUUGGGUAAAAGUCUAAAAGAUUCCAGUAUUUUGAGGAUAUUUGUAAUUACUAUUCAUGAAGUUGACCUGUUUCAUAAUGUCUCAUGCUCACCCCCCUCCCCCCACCCCAUCCACUUCAUAUCAGUUCUUAAAACAUGUUGCAAAUUAUAUAUACAUUGUAAGUUGGUAAUAGAGAAAAAUUGAGUGAGGUAAAUGCAAUACAAAUCGAAUCCAUUAUUAAGCAAUUAAGACUUGUUCAGGUACGGCACGUGAACCUCCAACAAAUUUCAAAAAUGAUGCAGUUUGGUUUUAUGUGUAAAGUGAAUGGCAACAAAGGACCUACCGGUGCGUGUCUUUGUAUGUUUCGGACUGCGCAAAUUCAGUGAGCUCUUUUUAAUAAUAUACACUAUGUAAAGCGUAUUGAACUCUAUGU